This 253-nucleotide ribosomal RNA is filed under the name uncultured bacterium. RNAcentral's name for it is "partial 16S ribosomal RNA". It matches the Rfam family "Bacterial small subunit ribosomal RNA", at positions 524 to 776 of the family's 1533-position model. The record is from RNAcentral.
UACGGGGGGGGCAAGCGUUGUUCGGAAUUACUGGGCGUAAAGGGCUCGUAGGUGGCCAACUAAGUCGGACGUGAAAUCCCUCAGCUUAACUGGGGAACCGCGUCCGAUACUGGAUGGCUUGAGUUUGGGAGAGGGAUGCGGAAUUCCAGGUGUAGCGGUGAAAUGCGUAGAUAUCUGGAGGAACACCGGUGGCGAAGGCGGCAUCCUGGACCAACACUGACACUGAGGAGCGAAAGCCAGGGGAGCAAACGGG